This is a non-coding RNA of Callithrix jacchus (white-tufted-ear marmoset), 13638 nucleotides long. The record is from RefSeq and is a predicted model, not a curated record. NCBI's taxonomy places the organism in Eukaryota, Metazoa, Chordata, Mammalia, Primates, Cebidae.
CCUAAAGGGAAUCAAAAGCAUUUCCAUAUUAUUUCUGAAAGGCCAAUCAGGAAACAAACAUGAACAGUCCCUUCAGCCCACGGAAUACAUAUAGCACUUGGCAAGUCGCCUAGAACACCAGGGCCCACCACACAGACCAUCUUUUUUUUUUUUGAGAUGAAGUCUCACUCUGUCGCACUCAGGCUGGAGUGCAGUGGCACGAUCUCGGCUCACUGCAACCUCCACCCCCAGGUUCAAGGGGUUUUUCCGCCUCAGUCUUCCAAGUAGCUGGGAUUACAGGUACCCGCCACCACACCCAGUUAAAAUUUUGUAAUUUUAGUAGAGAUGGCAUUUCACCAUAUUGGUCAGGGUGAUCUUAAACUCCCAACCUCAGGUGAUCCGCCCACCUUGGCCUCCCAAAGAGUUGGGAGCCACCAUGCCUGGCCCAGAGAUAAUCUUAAUCCACAAAUACCUCCUUAAGGAAAUUUCUUUCCGAAGUGAAUCAGUCACCCACACUUCUAUUAAAGUUACUCAACAGUUUCCCUAGUUCCUAACACUAUUCUUUAAUAGUUUCCAUUCUUUUUGUUCAUUUAUUUUUUCAAUAGGGAUUUAUUGGAUCUCAGUUCCUUUCUGUGCUACUGACUAAACCUUCCUUCACUAAAUUAUUCAUUUUUCAUAUUGGAGCAGUCACUCCCCAGUGUACUGAGUUGCUACUCAGUACACUUGUUGGACUGACUACUGCUGUACUAAUUUUGUAUUGGUAAAUAAUGUCUUUUCAAUCUUACCUGAUGUCGUAACUGCUGGCAGAUUAAAGAUCUCAGUUCCUGGCUGAGCAGCUGCUAUAUUUAAGCAAACAUUUAAGUUAAUUAAGAUGUGAUAAUCAUAUAUACCAAACUAAAGUCUCAAAAAAUUCCUAUAAUAAAAUCUUUUAAUUUUUCAUGAUCCCCACCUUUGUUUUUCACUCAUUGAGUGAAUAAAAUGGAAGAACAUUUUUUUGAGAUGGCAUCUCGCUCUGUUGCCCAGGCUUAGUUUUUUAAAAGGAAAUCAUGAAAUAGGUAAGUAGGAACAUCAAAAGGGGAUUAGUAAGCUGGGUGCGGUGGCGCGCUUCCGGUCCCCCAGCUACGCAGGAGGCUGAGGCAGUAAGACUGCUUGAGCUCAGGAAUUUGAGGCCAGCCUGGGCAACACAGUGAGACUAUCCCAUCUGUUAACAAAAAAGGGGGAAAAAAAGUAAAUAAAUAAAGGAGCAAUGUAACCCAGAAAAAGGGGAAGAAAGUUUGCACUGCUGGAGAAACAAAUAUGAAAAUGCUGUGCUUAGAACAGGAAUCAAGACUUUCUAACGAAGAAGAAACCGCGGACUCUGAGAUGACCGCAACAAGUACCCAGGCAGCCUGGGAUUCGAUCCAGAGGAAAGGUGCCUCAGUGUGUGCUGCGAAAAUGACUGUGUACUUCCCUGUAUGGCUAACUAGAAACUCAGGAUCUGUGCUGGGAAAAAAAGACUGUUAAUCCUUGUCAUUUCUGCUGACUGUGCAACUUGUAACCUGCAGUUUGAAAAACAGCAUAAGACCUGUGAACCACCUAUAAUAAAGCAGUGUGCCUUUAUUAUAGGGGAAGAAUUUAGGACAUAAAUGGUGUUUCUGUCAUUCCUGAUUUGAUGCUGAGAAUUUCAGAGAGAAAAAAGGAAUUCAGGAAGCAAGUGGGUGGGCAAAUGAUGUCCCAAAAAAUGUGAAAAUUUUUUCUUUGUUUUGAGACACAGUUUUGUUCUUGUCACCCAGGCUGGAGUACAAUGGUGUGAUCUAGGCUCACUGCAGCCUCUGCCGCCCAGGUUCAAGCAAUUCUCCUGCCUCAGCCUCCCAAGUAGCUGGGAUGACAGGCCUCUACCACCAUGUCCAGCUAAGUUUUGUAUUUUUAGUAGAAACGGGGUUUCACCAUGUUGGCCAAGCUGGUCUCAAACUCUUGACCUCAGGUGAUCCAUCUGCCUUCCAAAGUGCUGGGAUUAUAGGCAUAGGCCACUGUGCUCAGCCAGAAUAUGAAAUUUGUAAUGACACCAAAGAAAGAUGGACUCUUAACCAAGGGGUGAGCACAUUAAAGAAGAGGGAAGAGUGCAUGUGCCUAGAAACAAACUUGGUUGAUCAGGGAGGCUUUAAACUGACAAAGAGAAGAGAAAAGUCUUCAGAAGAACUAGGAAACAAUGGCCAUGGAUGAUAGUCUUACUUAUGAGCCAGGUGACAAGGUAAAUAAACUGAGCCUGAAAUAACAGAGCCUUGUUAUCAUAAAGUACGUGGAAGGGGAGUCAUUCAUUCAUUAGAUAUUUAAUUAAGCAGUUAUUUUGAUGAAUCAUAAGAUUACCUUCUUAUUGAUCAAAAAUGGUCAGAUGAAUACAAUUUCCUAUAGUUAACCAAUGAUAAUCCUUAGAUACUACAUUUGCAGAACACCCCUUCCUUUGCUUAUGGAGCUUACAGUGCAGUGUGGUACUUGCUGAGGCCAUACAAAUCAGAAUCACCUGGGGUAGCUUAGUAAAUUUUCUACAUUCCUAGGGCCCUAUAAUUCAACUAUUUAAUAAGCAAUCCAGGUGACUGGUACCUACUGUUGAGCAAAAAUGUGGUAACUGCUCAGAAAUUAGCAGAAGGGAAGGUAGACAUGUGAAAGCCACGUCCAGUGGAGGCCAACUUGACAGGAGGAAGUAACUACCAUCAGGAGGCAGAGAGGCCAGGAUAGUGAUGGCCAGAGUGAGGGCAACUGCGGUAGGGAAGGAGGAACUUUUUGUAUGGGGAGGUAGACUAUGAAUUCAAUUUUAGAUGCUUAGGGAGCCAGUAAGUUAGUCAAGAAGUAAUGAGGUCUGCAAAGGUAUGUAGGUAGAGCUUAGCAGGAAAAGCUGGACUGCAGAUACAAAUUUGGGAGUUUUCAGCAUACAAGUGACCAUUCAAAUCCCAGAGUAGAUAAGAUGACUCAGAUUAUAAAGCAUGAGGAGAAAGGGACUAAGAAGUGAGCCCUGGGGAAAACCAACAAUCAGGGGCCAGGCAAAGCAAGACUGAGCUUCUAAGGAGAUGGAAAUGGCCAGAGAAGUAGAAAGAGAACAUGGUAUCAGAAAACCAAGAGAAGAAAGCAUUUCGGGAAAAGGAAAGUCAUUCACUGUUAAAAGCUGCAAAGAGAUCCAAUAAAGUAAAUUUUAAAACAUUAAGGUUUUCAAAAAAAAUAAAGUCAUUGAUGUCCUUGGGAACACUGAGUUCAGAUACAAUGAGGUGAAGUGAAGCUGUGCUGGUUGCUGAUGGGUUUCAUUUAGUUUUACUUCCCAGUAAGGGCUAAAUGUGCCCACUGGUUCUUUAAUAUAAAUUUUCCUUUCCACCAUGAAAAACUGUUCUUGCAAAAAAAAAAAAAUCCCAGACCUGAAAGCAAUUCUGUUAGUACUUCCCUUAAGACAUGAUUAUCUCCUAUUAAAGUUAGGUAUUCAUUUCAUCAUCAUUUUCAGAGAAUAGGGACCAUCCAUCAUACUAAAAUACCCAAUACAGCAGUAUCCUACUCAAAACAUUAGGCAGAAAGGAAAAACUAUAAAGUAGGCUUCUUAGUUCAUACAGGGCAUUUCCCUGUCAAGAGUUUCCCACUUCAAGGGCAAGACAGACGAGAGGAUGAGAGUAAACCAUACAAUGGUGAAAUGAUUUGAACCUCAGUUCCUGGCUGCUCUGGUAUCUCUAGCUCUCCAUGCUCACACAAAUUCAUCUCUGAGUUCCGAGAGCAUUUGAAAACGAGGGCAUAUUUUUGUUGAUGACACUUGAGGAGCUGUAAAUAAUAAACUGUUGAAGACUGGUGAUAGAAAAUACUAGUAACGGUAUUUUUUUAAAAGAAGGGCGGCCGGGCAUGGUGGUUCAAUUCUGUAAUCCCCGCACUUUGGGAGGCCAAGGCAGGUGGAUCACGUGACGUCAUGAGUUCAAGAUCAGCCUGGCCAACAUGGAGAAACCCCAUCUCUACUAAAAAUACAAAAUUAGCCAGGUGUGGUGGCAGGCGCCUGUAAUCUCAGCUACUCAGGAGGCUGAAGCAGGAGAAUCACUUGAACCCUGGAAGCAGAGGCUGUGGUGAGCCCAGAUUGUACCACUGCACUCCAGCCUGGAUGACAGAGUAAGACUCAGGUCCCCCCACAAAAAGAAAGGCAAUCUAUAAGCCUGAUAACAAUUCUGGUCAGCAUUCUAAAAUAUUUGUCUUUCAGAUGAUUUUCUUGCCAUCUAAACAGAGAAUCUAGUAAUUAAGAGCAAGGACAAAAAAAGAAAGGCCAUCAAAAGGUUCACAAACUGGUGACACUGGCUCAUCCUUUUCUCCUUAGCGUUCAACAUUUAUCAGUCGCACAGAGUGACAGAUCUAAACAUAUAUCCAUCAGGCAGUUCACAGUGCAAGGCCCCCACUUCCCUUUCUUUUGACAGGGACAGAAGACUAGUACAUGGUAAAUUAUAGAAAUAAAGCAGAUUACCCUUUCCUCAGCUGCUGUCACAGUGCUUGGUCUUUCUGAGGAAGCUGAGCCGUGUUGGGGUGAGGCCCUCAUUUCAUCACGCAACUAGCACUGUGUCCAGCAGCGCCAGCCCCACAGUCGCCCAUGCCAUGGCCCCCAACUCUGAGCAUGCCGGCAUCUACUUGGCCCUCACUCUGCAUGAAGAUGUGACGACCAUCUCGGAGGAUAAGAUCAAUGCCCUCAUUAAAGUAGCUGGUGUAAAUGUUGAACCUUUUUGGCCCGCUUGUUUGCAAAGGCCCUGGGCAGUGUCAACAUUGAGAGCCUCAUCUGCAAUGUAGGAGCUGGUGAACCUCCUCCAGCAGCUGUGCUGCACCAGCAGGAGGUCCUGCCCCCUCCACUGCUGCUGCUCCAGCUAAGAAGAAAGUGGAAGCAAAGAAACAAGAAUCUGAGGGGGUCUGAUGAUGACAUGAGCUUUGGUCGUUUUGACUAAGUCUCUUAUAAUAUGUUUAAUACAAAGCUGAACUUUAAACAAAUAAAAAUAAAGAAUAAAGCAGACUGUGGUAUACCCAAAGUCUCUCUAUCACGAAGACUAACCUAGGAAAAGAUUAAUAAGACCAGAGAGGCAGUAAAAGUGAGUGUGCUGACAGAGUAAGAGGAGGUUUUGAUUCAUACUUGGAUGUAAACCCAGAGGAAAGGUUCUGCCACAGAGCAUUAGCUAGGGUGUCUUACUAACAGUCUGGCUAGGAUGCUGAGUAUGGAACUGUCACAAGCCCCUUGGUCCAUCAUUAGCAACAUGGAUUCUGGUGCUGGAAUGCCUGGGUUUGAACUGCAGCCUCAUUACUAUCUUAACUGUGCCAGCUCUUAACCCUGAGUCUCAGCUUCCUCAGCCAAAAAGUGGAGAUAAUUACAAUGUGUAACAUGUAGGGUUGCCGUGAGGAUUAAAUGAGAUUAUAUCUCCACAUGCUUUGAAUAGAGCUUAGCACAUAGUAAGUGCUAGAUAACCUUUUGCUACCAUUAUUAUUUUUAUAUUUGUAUUUUAUUUUAUUAUUUUUUUGAGAUGGAGACUCACUCUGUUACCCAGGCUGCAGUGCAGUAGCACAAUCUUGGCUCACUGCAACCUCUGCCUCCCAGGUUCAAGCGAUUCUCAUACUUCAGGCUCCUGAGUAGCUGGGAUUAUAGGCACACACCAUCAUGACCACCUGAUUUAUGUAUUUUUAGUAGAGAUGGGGUUUCACCAUGUUACCCAGCUGGUCUCAAACUCCUGCCCUUAAGUGAUCUGCCUGCCUCAGCCUCCCAAACUGCUGGGAUUACAGACAUGAGCCACCACACAUCCAACCAAUCUUUAUUUUUAAUUUUUUUUUUUUUUUUUAAAGACAGAGUCGCAUUCUGUUGCCCAGGCUGGAGUGCAGUGGCAUGAUCUCGGCUCACUGCAACCUCCACCUCCCAAGUUCAAGUGAUUCUCCUGCCUCAGCCUCUUGAGUAGCUGGGAUUACUGGUAGGCACACACAACCACACCCAGCUAAUUUUUUUUUUGUAUUUUCAGUAGAGACAGGGUUUCACCAUGUUGGUCGGGCUGGUCUCAAACCUGGUGAUCUGCCCGCCUGGGCCUCCCAAAGUGCUGUGAUUACAGGCAUGAGCCACCGUGCCUGGCCAAUUUUUUUUUUUUUUUUUUUUUUUGAGACAUCUCGCUCUAUGGCCUAGGCUGGAAUGCAGUGACCCAAUCAUGGCUCAUUGUAGCCUCAACUUCCCAGGCUCAAGCGAUCCUCCCACCUCAGCUUCCCAUGUAAAUGGGACCACAGGGGCAUACACCACCACGCCCAGCUGAUUUUUUUUUUUUUUUUGUAGAGACAGGGUCUCCCUGUGUUGUCCAGGCUAGUCUUGAACUCCUGGGCCGAAUCAAUCCUCCUAUCUUGGCCUCCCAAAGUGCUGUGAUUCCAGGUGUGAGCCACCGUGCCUGGCCAAUGUUCUAUUUUUACUGUGAGUUUAUCAGAGUUGCAUAUGAAUAGUGAAUGACUCAACUGAAGUACAGAAAGACACUGGUAAGGUAGAAAAGUAGUUGGACUGCAGGAAGCACAGACAGACCUGGAUUUGUCCUAUACAUGGAGCUAGUUAUUGCAAAAGUAGAGCAAGGGCAAAGUGUGGAUUAAUAGUAGCCCAAGACCUUGACAUCAACAUUCAAACUACGCUAUAACUUAAUGGUGUAACCAAAAAAGCUAAUACAGUUUUAGGCUACUUUAAAAAUGAUGUCACACCUGUGACUCCAGCACUUUGGGAGGCCGAGGCAGGGGGAUCAUGAGGUCAGGAGAUCAAGAUCAUCCUGGUCAACAUGGUGAAACCCUGUCUCUAAUAAAAAUACAAAAAAAUUAGCUGGGCAUGGUGGUGCACCACCUGUAGUCCCAGCUACUCAGGGAAGCUGAGGCAGGAGAAUCGCUUGAACCCAGGAGGCAGAGGUUGCAGUGAGCUGAGAUUGCAACAGUACACUCCAGCCUGGCAACAGAGUCAGACUGUCUCCCAAAAAAAAAAAAAAAAAAGGUGAAUUUAGCAUAUAUCAUAUUACACUACUCUAUUCUGUAUUACUUGGAACCUAGUGAAAGGCUAGGCUAAACGUUUUUGGUGGAGAAUAAUUGAGAUGGUAGGGGUACUCAUAAUGAGGUCAUGUGAUAAACAGAUGAUGAAACCGGGGACACUGAUUGAGAGGACUCCUGAAGGACAUGUCUUCAAAUAUCUGUGAGGAUGGGCCCAAAUGGACAAAACUAAGGCUCAUAGGUAGGGGAGAAAGAAAAACUAUGGAGAGUUUAUCCAGUACCCUAUAAGGAAAGGUAACCUAGACACAGCAUUUGUUCAAAGAAAAACAGCACAACUUCAGAAAGGAGCGAGCUCCUGCUUCCUCAUGAGAACUCUUCAUGGGCUGGCAGGCACUUGAGAAGGAAUGCUAGGAUCAGAUGUGUUGGACAGAUGCCUGGUAAAGAGCCUUCCAAGUCAAGCAUUAUAGGAAAGGCAACACUAGAGAUAUCACUAUUAACGCAUGUUUUAUUUGAGGUUCAUGAAAGAAAUCCCACUUACCCAUAUCAGAGUCACCUCCACCAGAGGAGUUCAACUUACGAAAAAUCUCCUGCUUCUUUGAUUUAACCAUGGGUGAUGUGUUUUCAAGCUUGGUGAAAAAUGAAGGCAAGUAGCUUAUACUCCCUGGUGAGCGGGAAUCAUUCCUGUUAGGGCCAAAGUUAAGUAUAUUACAACCAUGUACUCCUAAUCCUGGGACAUUCCUAUCAAUGAUAACAACAGUCAGAGAGUACUUAGGAAACUACUGCCUCCUCAUCCUGUGUCUGUGGUUACAGCCCUAAGAAACCAUAUGUAAUCAAAAGCCAUUUAGUACAUCAUUUGAGGACAGUCAAAUGAUUUAGCUCUCAAAAUGAAAUCAUAAAAUUAGAAUUAGAAUGGAGAUAAUCUAGAAAUUCUUAGGAAGGAAUGAAGCAGCAGCAAAUGAAUAUUAAUAGGAAAAUUCAAACAGCUUAUCAUUAUUCUCUCUGCUUAACAGCACAAACACUGAUAUAUUCAUGGUUGCCACAUAAAUUGCAAACUAUCUUACUAGAAUUAGUUUUAAGUACACUAAAAUUAUAAUAGCAUGCUUGCCUAUAAAAUAGCAAGAACUCAGAUCUAAGCAAUCGACAGCUGGAAUGGAAUGCAACAGGGAUAGUAGAGGAAUAAGACUGCCUAUUUGUUACAGUCACUUCAAGACACCUAACAAAUGAGCUGAGUUUAACAAGAAUAGUUUUAUAUUUUAUACACAGUUUAAAAAACAACUUUCCCCUAACAGCUCGAGGCCACCAAGGAUCUAGGUAGAGCCAGAGAUGAGAACAAAGAAUACAGGUUACCGACAAACUAAUCCAGUCAUGUGGAUUCAUUCAUCAUUCAAACAUAAGAACACUUACUUUAUGCCAAGAAAGACAAUUAAGGUGACAGGAACAGGAACAAGACAUGGUCCCUGUCCUCAAAAAAAACUCACAAACAUAGGAGGAAAAAUAUAAACGCAUAAUUAAAUUGAAUAUCACUCCCUCUCCAAAAAUGGAUUUUCUUCAUUUCAUUGAAAAGUAGCAGUAUCUGUUUAGUUGCCUAAGAAUAAAUGCAGUAAAUUAAUAGCAACACAUUGUAAGAAAUGCACUAGCAAUUUGGAGUUAGAAAGACCUUAGUUUAAAACUGGCCUUUCCCCAUUAGUAUCAGUAUGACCAUGAGCAAGGGACAUGUCUGGCACUUGGCACAUCACCAGAGGGUGUUCUGUGCUAGGCAAACUGCACAAGUAUUGACAGAAAGGAAUUCAGGGAAUAAUAAGCAAAAUGAUAUGGACAGAGACUCCAGUGUAGGGGUGAGGCGGUGGGAAGUAAAACUGAGUAGGCAGCAUAAACCUGGUCACGCAAGAACUCAGAUGCCGCGCUAAAGACUGGCUGCUGGAUUCUGCAGGGGUUUUAGACAAAUCACUCAGGUGGAGGUAUGGAGACUUACUGGAAAGGAGCCAACUCAAAGGCAUGUAAUCCAAAUGGGGAUAAUAAUUUAAUAAUUAAUAGGAUUGGGGUCAGGGUUACAAAGAUGUAAGAUAAAACCCAUUCAAGCCGGGUGCAGUGGCUCACACCUGUAAUCCCAGCACUUUGGGAGGCCGAGGCGGGUGGAUCAAGAGAUCGAGACCAUCCUGGUCAACAUGGUGAAACCCUGUCUCUACUAAAAAUACAAAAAAUUAGCUGGGCAUGGUGGCGUGUGCCUGUAAUCUCAGCUACUCAGGAGGCUGAGGCAGGAGAAUUGCCUGAACCCAGGAGGCAGAGGUUGCAGUGAGCAAAGAUCGCGCCAUUGCACUCCAGCCUGGGUAACAAGAGCGAAACUCCUUCUCAAAAAAAAAAGUAAUAAAAUAAAAUAAAAUCCAUUCAGAGUCCACAGUGCUUGGUGUACAAUAAGCAUUCAAAUGUUGGCUGAAUCAAUGAGUGACACUUCCCCCAGACAAAAAACAAAACAAAAAAAACUAUCUAGAAAGAUUUAAUUUCAAGAAGAAUAAUGAACAAAUAUUUUCUAACAUAUUUAAAUAUUAUGAUAUUGUGAAUAUUUUCUUUUUGCUAAAAUCCACUAGCAUUAGAUCACUAGGAAAACAGAGACAAAUGAUACUCUGAGAAUCCCAUCCAGACAUAAAAGCCCAAAGUAGAAAAAUGGCACUAACUUAAGGAAAUGUUAAAGCCUGGGCACCCACGCCAUGAAUCAGUGCUGUCACUAGGAAGUACACUUACCUCUGCUCUGUAGGCUCUGAGCCCCUCUGAGACAAGAGCAGCAAGUUGUCCUGUUUCUCAUGUACAACUGGAACCUGGGGUGGGGAGAUGGGCUCGUAGGGCUCUGAAGAGAUGUGACUCCUCUCUGGGGAUUUUCCAGGCCUACUAUUGUAAUAUGUAAAAUAUUAGAUUCUGUUUCAAAGGCGUACCUAGGACUUACCUAAACAGAAACUGGUUAACUUAUGACUUCAUUCAGAAGAAAGAGCAAAAGCUGCCAAUUUCUGUCAGUAAAAAGUUGCUUCAGGUAUUCACUAUAUACAUAGUUAUAAAAAAAAAUAAAACACUCUGUUACUGCCACUUGACCCACGAGUGCCCACGGCAUCAGAUAGGGCUGCCUGGGCAGCAGCAGCAGCAGAAGCUGUGUCCUGAGGCUCCACGUGUGUUUCAACGUCAGACGCCAUCCACCCUUUGCUCCUUAGUCCAGGUGAACCCUCAAGAGUUUUCCUAUUUUGAGUCAUGACUGACUAGUUUUUUCAUCAUCAAGUUAAAGAUAAAGGACUUCAGUACUAAAAGGAUACCCAAGAAGUUUUAUCAGAUAAGUCAACACAGGUUCUAGUUACACUAUAUUACGGCAGAGGGGUUCUCUGCAAUUUUACAUUUUUUUCUCUGGAUAUCAUUUGAUAAGAACAAUAUAUGACAGACACACUGUUUAGCUCCCACCAUUUAUUUUUAUUUUAUUUUAUUUGACAAAGUCUGGCUUUGUCACACAGGCUGGAGUGCAGUGGCGUGAUCUUGGCUCAUUGCAAUCUCUGCCUCCCAGGUUCAAGCAAUUCUCCUGCCUCAGCCUUCCAAGUAGCUAGGAUUACAGGCAAGUGCCACCAUGCUGGCUAAUUUCUCUAUUUUUUUUUUUUUAAUUUCCUUUUUUUCUUUCUUUUUCUUAUUGGCUACUGCUCAGCAACAUUUUUGUAUUUUUAGUAGAGACAGGGUUUCACUAUGUUGGUCAGGCCUCCUGACUUCAGGUGAUCUGCCCACCUCAGCCUCCCAAAGUGCUGGGAUUAUAGGCAUGAGCCACUCUGCCUGGCCCGUUUAUCUUAUUAUUACUAUUUUUAUUUUUUUAGAGACAGGGUCCUACUCUGUUGCCCAGACUGGAGUACAGGUAUGCAAACAAUCAUGGCUCACUGCAGCCUCAAAUUCCUGAGCUCAAGUAAUCCUCUCACUUCCGUCUCCCAAGUACUGGGAUUACAGGCAUGCGCCACCAUGCCUAGCUAAUGUUUUUAUUAUAUGUUUUAUUAUGUCAGUGUGGCUCCUUUUUAAUUUUUUGUAGAGACAGGGGGUCUCACUAUGUUGCUGGCCUCAAAUUCCUGGACUCAAGCAAUCCUCCCACCUCAGGAUGCAAAAGUAUUGGGAAUUACAAGCACCUGGUCCCACCACUCCUUCCCCUGACAUCCUCUUUUUUUUUUUUUUUUUUUUUUAAGACAGAGUCUCCCUCUGUCAUCCUGGCUGGAGUGCAGUGGCAUAAUCCUGGCUCACUACAAUGUCCGCCUCCCAGGCUAAAGGGAUUCUACUAUCUCAGCCUUCUGAGCAGCUUAGAUUACAGGUUGAUUGAUUUUUGUAUUUUUAUUAGGGACAGGGUUUCACCAUGUUGGCCAGGCUGGUCUCAAACUCUUGACCUCAAGUGAUCCACCCGCCUCAGCCUCCUAAAGUACUGGGAUCACAGGCGUGAGCCACCAUGGCCAGCCCCCUAAAAUUUUUUGAUAUAGUGAUUAUGCAUAUUAAAGCCACCUGUGACUUUCAAUAUCUGGAAUUAUGACAGUUAUACUUAAGCAAAAUUAUAAUAUGAUUUGUUAUGGCCCUUCCCAAUCAGCCCCUUCCAGUUGUUCAAGAUAGCCACAUUUUUUUUAGUUGCUUUGGUAUUUACCUCCAAAACUCUUUAAAUAAUCUUAAAUAUGUAAUUUUUUUAUCCAACUUGAAACAGUAUCUGUCAACUCUCUUCCAUGAAUAAUGAAGAAUUUAUCUUCUCUCUAGUUGCCUAUUUUAAUUUUUAUUUGAGAUGGAGUCUUACAGUGUCACCCGGGCUGCAGUGCAGUGGCUCACUGCAACCUUUGCCUCCCAGUUUCAAGAGCUUCUCCUUGCCUCAGCCUCCCAAGUAGCCGGGAUUACAAGAGUGCGCUACCAUGCCCAGCUAAUUUUUUUUGUAUUUUUAGUAGAAACAGGAUUUUACUAUGUUGGCCAGGCUGGGAUUACAGGAAUGAGCCACCGUGACCAGCCUUUUUUUUUUUGAGACGGAGUUUCGCUCUUGUUACCCAGGCUGGAGUGCAAUGGCGCAAUCACAACCUCUGCCUCCUGGGUUCAGGCAAUUCUCCUGCCUCAGCCUCCUGAGUAGCUGGGAUUACGGGCACACGCCACCAUGCCCAGCUAAUUAUUUUUUGUAUCUUUAGUAGAGACGGGGUUUCACCAUGCUGACCAGGUGGUCUCGAUCUCUUGACCUUGUGAUCCACCCGCCUCGGCCUCCCAAAGUGCUGGGAUUACAGGCUUGAGCCAUUUUAUUUUUAUUUUUUUGAGACAGGGUCUCCCUCUGUCACCCAGGCUAGAGUGCAGUAGUACGAUCACUGCUUACUGCAGCCUUGACUUCCAGGCUCAGGCGAUCCUCCUAACCUCGGGUUCCCAAGUAGCUGGGACUUGAGGAAGGACCCUUCCUAUCUCAUUCUGAGGCUGAUAUCAAAACGUGGCAGAGACACAACAACAAAAUGAAAACUUCAGGCCAAUAUCCUUGAUGAACAUCGAAGCAAAAAUCCUCAACAAAGUACUGGCAAACCAAAUCCAGCAGCAGGACAUUAAAAACUUAUCCGCUGGGCAUGGUGGCUCAUACCUGUAAUCCCAGCACUUUGGGAGGCCGAGGCGGGUGGAUCACGAGGUCAGGAGUUUGAGUCCAGCCUGGCCAACAUAGUGAAACCCCGUCUCUACAAAAAAUUUAAAAAUUAGCCAGGAAUGGUGGUAUGUACCUGUAAUCCCAGCUACUUGCGAGGCUGAAGCAGGAGAAUUGCUUGCACCCAGGAGGCAGAGGUUGUGGCAAGCCGAGAUAGCACCACUGCACUCCAGCCUGGGCAACAGAACGAGACUCUGCCUCUAAGAAAAAAAAUGAUAAACAAACAAAAAAGCUAUCCACCGCAAUCAAGUAGUUUUAUCCCUAAUAUGCAAGGUUGUUUCAAUAUACACAGAUCUCAACAGAUUCAGAAAAGGCUUUCAAUAAAAUUCAAUACCCUUUAUUGUUAAAAACUCUCAGUAAACUAGGUAUUAAAGAAGGAUGCCUCAACAUAAUAAAAGAGUCAUAAAUAAAAACCCACAGCUUACAUCAUACUGAAUGGGGAAAAGCUGGAAGUGUUCCUCUUGAAAGUCAGCACAAGACAAGGAUGCCCUCUGUCACCACUUUUAUUCAGCAUCCUAUUGGAAGUCAUGGCCAAGGUGAUCAGGCAAGAGAAAGAAACAGCAUCCAAAUAGGAAGAAAGGAAGUCAAACUAUCUCUGUUUGCAGAGGACAUAAUCCUCUAUCUAGAAAACUCCACAGACUCAGCCCCAAAGCUCCUAAAGCUGAUAAACAACUUCAGCAAAGUCUCAGGGUACAACAUCAAUGUGCAAAAAAGCACUAGCAUUGCUAUACACCAACACGAGUCAAGCCGACAGCCAAGUAAGGAAUGCAAUUUGAUUCACAACUGCCACAAAAAGAAUAAAAUACCUAGGAAUACAGCUAACCAGGGAGGUGAAAGAUCUCUGCAAGGAGAACUACAAAACACUUCUCAAAAAAAUAAGAGUUGACAUAUACAAAUGAACAAACAUUCCAUGCUCAUGGAUAGGAAUAAUCAAUAUCGUUAAAAUGGCCACACUGACCAAAGCAGUUUACAGAUUCAAUGCUAUUUCUAUUAAACUACCAAUGACAUUCUUCACAAAACUAAAAAAAAAAAAAAAAAAAAAAUUUAAAAAUUCA